CCUGUGCUCUCCUGCACCAGUUUUCAGGUUUUCCUGAAUUGUUGUUUGGCCUUCCCAGGCUGACCUUGGAUCUGACUUCUUCCCUGGCCUUUGAUGAUCACAGGACGAUUGAUGGGGACAGUUGAUGGAGCCUGUCACCAUUCCCUCUCUGCUCACCCCCUUCAGGGGCUGGCUUGAGUUUACCUGGUCUCCCAGCCCUUGGUCCAAGGCUGUAGGACAGCUGGGAGAGGAAUUUGGCUUUCCUCCUUGGGAGAGGGUGUGUGCUGAGCUCCUGGCUAUGGACAGGUCACUCAGCUGCUGGGCUGCUUCUCCCCUGGCUCAGCCUCUCACAGCCAAGGCUUCCAGUGCUCCCUGCAGGAGUGUGGCUUUAAAGGGACACUGCACUGUACAAGCUCAGGUAUCUGAAGGGACUCUGAUGUGUCACACUGGAUGGCUGCUUGAGAUUUGGCAAAUGUCAACAAAAAUAGAUCUUUGUCCCCUCAGAGAGGUGCUCUGCUGCUAGCUGCAUCCUGGGUUGGUGUGGAGCUUGUGCUUGGAUCUCAAACAGGGCUGUGGUGUCUGUGUGGGACACUCUGUCAACACAGCAUGCUGGGGGUCAGAAGGCUGCCUGGGAUGUGACACCUGUGACAAUGGGUACAACUGCCUCUGAUGUGUCCAUGGCCACUUCUUGGGACUCCACCUUGAGCACAAAGCUUGAGAAGAGCGCGGAGGGACUUUGUGUUUAAUCUGUCACAGCAAACACUCAGUUCUCAGUGUUCAUGCACUCAUGGGUCAUUUCUGUGUUUUGUCCUCAUUUAAUGGAGAAGUGAGGGGUUUUUGUGCCCUCAGUGCAACUUCUAAAAGACAAUUUAAUGGCUGCACUCAAACAUAAAAGGGGAGAGGGCCAGGGCUGGCUCAGUCAACAGUGUUUGAGCAUAAUACCCUAUGGGAGAGUAACAGAAUCUGUCUGUGUCAUAAAUAACACUGAACAGCUUAUUUUGGCAAAGAAUUUUCAUUCCUGACAAAUGCCAUGUUGAGACAACCAAUAACCACCUGCUGAUUUGGGAUGAAAUUAGAAUUUGAAUGGUCAGGUCAGCUCAGAUGCAGUGUUGGUGGGUUUCCAGUGGAGACUCUCACAUGUCUGAUAGGAAAUAAUCUUUAUGAGGCUUUCAGAGGCAAGGGAAUACUCAGGCUUACAAAUCCUUACACUGUUUUAUUGGGAAUGCCCAUAUCAGAGGAUUGCUAAGUAAAGCACAUUACAUAAGACUGCCCUUUGAGGUGCUAAGGUCUCGUAACUGGGACAUAUUUUCAAGUCUAUCAGAAUGAUUUCAGCAUCUCAUGAGUUGUCAGCACUUCUCUGUUUUUUUGAAGCAGAUGUUUUUUCUCUUCUACCACAUUAAAUGGGAUCUUCUGUGUUGUGCCAACAGUAAAGGUGCAUA
This is a long non-coding RNA of Zonotrichia leucophrys gambelii, 1418 nucleotides long. RefSeq lists it as uncharacterized. NCBI's taxonomy places the organism in Eukaryota, Metazoa, Chordata, Aves, Passeriformes, Passerellidae. The transcript is spliced from 3 exons. The record is from RefSeq and is a predicted model, not a curated record.